CUGGCUCAGGAUGAACGCUGGCGGCGUGCCUAAUACAUGCAAGUCGAGCGAACAGACGAGGAGCUUGCUCCUUUGACGUUAGCGGCGGACGGGUGAGUAACACGUGGGUAACCUACCUAUAAGACUGGGAUAACUUCGGGAAACCGGAGCUAAUACCGGAUAAUAUUUCGAACCGCAUGGUUCGAUAGUGAAAGAUGGCUUUGCUAUCACUUAUAGAUGGACCUGCGCCGUAUUAGCUAGUUGGUAAGGUAACGGCUUACCAAGGCAACGAUACGUAGCCGACCUGAGAGGGUGAUCGGCCACACUGGAACUGAGACACGGUCCAGACUCCUACG
This 335-nucleotide ribosomal RNA is filed under the name Goniomonas pacifica. Its description in RNAcentral is "partial Bacterial small subunit ribosomal RNA". It matches the Rfam family "Bacterial small subunit ribosomal RNA", at positions 19 to 343 of the family's 1533-position model. The record is from RNAcentral. Lineage: Eukaryota; Cryptophyceae; Goniomonadida; Goniomonadaceae.